GACGAACGCUGGCGGCGUGCUUAACACGUGCAAGUCGAACGGAAAGGCCCUUCUUUUGUGGGGUGCUCGAGUGGCGAACGGGUGAGUAACACGUGAGUAACCUGCCCUUGACUUUGGGAUAACUUCAGGAAACUGGGGCUAAUACCGGAUAGGAGCUCCUGCUGCAUGGUGGGGGUUGGAAAGUUUCGGCGGUUGGGGAUGGACUCGCGGCUUAUCAGCUUGUUGGUGGGGUAGUGGCUUACCAAGGCUUUGACGGGUAGCCGGCCUGAGAGGGUGACCGGCCACAUUGGGACUGAGAUACGGCCCAGACUCCUACGGGAGGCAGCAGUGGGGAAUAUUGCACAAUGGGCGGAAGCCUGAUGCAGCAACGCCGCGUGCGGGAUGACGGCCUUCGGGUUGUAAACCGCUUUCGCCUGUGACGAAGCGUGAGUGACGGUAAUGGGUAAAGAAGCACCGGCUAACUACGUG
This 468-nucleotide ribosomal RNA is filed under the name uncultured bacterium. RNAcentral's name for it is "partial 16S ribosomal RNA". It matches the Rfam family "Bacterial small subunit ribosomal RNA", at positions 28 to 507 of the family's 1533-position model. The record is from RNAcentral.